CCUACGGGAGGCAGCAGUAGGGAAUAUUGGGCAAUGGAGGCAACUCUGACCCAGCCAUGCCGCGUGCAGGAAGAAGGCGUUAUGCGUUGUAAACUGCUUUUAUAUAGGAAGAAAUAGACCUUGCGAGGUAAGUUGACGGUACUAUAUGAAUAAGCACCGGCUAACUCCGUGCCAGCAGCCGCGGUAAUACGGAGGGUGCAAGCGUUGUCCGGAUUUAUUGGGUUUAAAGGGUGCGUAGGCGGUUUAUUAAGUCAGUGGUGAAAGACGGUCGCUCAACGAUUGCAGUGCCAUUGAUACUGGUAGACUUGAGUGGGAUUGAGGUAGCUGGAAUGGAUAGUGUAGCGGUGAAAUGCAUAGAUAUUAUCCAGAACACCAAUUGCGUAGGCAAGUUACUAAGUCUCAACUGACGCUGAGGCACGAAAGUGUGGGUAUCAAACAGGAUUAGAUACCCUGGUAGUCCACACUGUAAACGAUGAUAACUAACUGUUGGCUUUCGGAUCAGUGGUACAGAGAAAUCGUUAAGUUAUCCACCUGGGGAUACGCGGCAACGGUGAAACUUAAGGAAUUGACGGCUGAGACGAGACGAGACGACGACGAGGGAGGAGG
This 606-nucleotide ribosomal RNA is filed under the name uncultured bacterium. Its description in RNAcentral is "bacterial SSU rRNA". It matches the Rfam family "Bacterial small subunit ribosomal RNA", at positions 338 to 951 of the family's 1533-position model. The record is from RNAcentral.